This 233-nucleotide unclassified non-coding RNA is filed under the name plant metagenome. RNAcentral's name for it is "partial contains small subunit ribosomal RNA, internal transcribed spacer 1, and 5.8S ribosomal RNA". The record is from RNAcentral.
UUUCCGUAGGUGAACCUGCGGAAGGAUCAUUACUGAGUGAGGGCCCUCUGGGUCCAACCUCCCACCCGUGUUUAUUAUACCUUGUUGCUUCGGUGAGCCCGCCUCACGGCCGCCGGGGGGCAUCUGCCCCCGGGCCCGCGCCCACCGAAGACACCUAGAACUCUGUAUGAAGAUUGCAGUCUGAGCGAAAACUAAAUAAGUUAAAACUUUCAACAACGGAUCUCUUGGUUCCG